This is a non-coding RNA of Equus caballus (horse), 954 nucleotides long. Lineage: Eukaryota; Metazoa; Chordata; Mammalia; Perissodactyla; Equidae. The record is from RefSeq and is a predicted model, not a curated record.
ACACCAUGCUGUCUUUACAGAAACUGAAAUAUAGUGAUAUAUACUUGAAACGUACACAAUGUUAUAAGCCAAUAAGACUUAAAUAAAAUAAUUAAAUUAAAAAAAAAAUGGAGAAGAUCAGCCUGGAGAACAUUCCAGGAGGAGGGGAUGCCAAUAGCAAAGGCUCAGAGGCAGGAAUGAGCUAGGCUGAGGCCUAAUGAAUUGGAGAGGGGCCAGAUGACACAGGCCUCAUAAGCCCAUGUUUGGACUUUGUGUUACACGCAUCCAUUACAGGAUGAACACCAAAUUUAUAUUUUUAAAAGCCCACAGAGGCCAGCCCUGGUGGCCUAGUGGUUAAGUUCGGUACACUCUGCUUAGGCUGCCCAGGUUCAGUUCCUGGGCGUGGACCUACACCACUCGUCUGUCAGCGGCCGUGCUGUGGCAGUGGUUCACAUACAAAAAAAAAGAGGAAGAUUGGCAACAGAUGUUAGCUCAGUGCGACUCUUCCUGAGACAAAAAACAAGCCUAUGGGUUGCUGUGUGGAGAAUGGACUGGAUGGGGGGAGAGCUUGAAGAAGGGAGACCAGUGAGGAGGCUGUUGGAUGCAUCCAAGAGAGAGAUGUGAUGGCCUGGAGCAGAUCCUGGUGAGAACAACCCUGAUGACUUAACAGUUUUCCAAGAGCUAAUCACGAAGGAGGCCGACUGGCAUCUUGUUUCGAUCUAGCCUCUCUGCCAGUUUCUGCAGGAAGUCCUCAAGCUGUGCCAAGAUUGUCAUGUCUGUGGACAUAGCUCCAGUGGGGCCCUCUCCCCUCGCCCUUUGCAGCCACAAGAAGCAGCAUGCAGGUCUCCAUGUCAGCAAACUUAGCGGAAUGCAAGAGAAGGAAAAUGAUCAAUGUGAAAGGAAACCCGGAGCUUUAAGAUAUCCACUGAACACAGAAGUAAAUAGCAAUAAUUACACUGACACUUACACAUGCGG